AGGAAGGUGAGAACUUGGUUUCAUUCUCUUGUUAGAUAAACCUGCCAUCUGCCAACCCGGGGUGGUCCCCCACGCUGGCGGACAGUUUCAAGUUACACCCGGGAAGCUCCCGAGGCUGCACGCUCACACGUCCAGACCCUAUCCGAAUGAAACAGGGUAAAACGUGUACGCUUAGCGUCAGCUAGAGCCGGGCGGUUUGCCCGAAAGCGCAAUGCAAACUGGAGUCGGCGGCAGCAGGCCCGCGCUCUUGCCGACUACACCCAGAUGCCGGCAGGAACCCUGCAGCGCAGAGAGUGUAAACCGACACCCGGCAGACCGAUGUCUGUCUCGACUGUGUUUUCAGUGAGGGAUGCUGUGCCAGCUGCCAGGGUCCUGCUCUCGGCCCCGCAUUCUCCCGUUUCCUGCUCUGCGGGAUGGAGCUGGGCCCUUGCGCACUCCUCCUCCGCCUGCAGAAGGUGCCGGCCGGGAGGUCGUGCGAUUUGGAGUCAGGUGCCAGGCCGGCCCUUGCCUUCCCAGGACUCGGGGAGGUGGUCAGAGCGAGGGCGCCCGAGUCCUUGGGAAGUAUUUAGCGAUUUCGCUUGAAAAGGGCAGAGACGGGAAUUCUGAAAGCAAAGGGGUCCUCCCGUUACUUGGAAGAGGGCCGCCCCACAUCUUUCCUUCGCGAGGCCGCCCCUGGCUUCGUUGCUCACAGAGCCCGCUUUCUCGCCGCCCGGGGCCCCGUCCACGACCGGGUUGGCAGGCUCGCGGCGCGCCUGGCCGCACCGAGCACUAGCCUUGAACUCCGUCCCCACCGGGACCUCCGAGGCGCGCGGCAGCCGCCCUCCAGGCCGCGCCCAGAGACCCCCUGACGUCACCUGUCACCUCCCCCGGCGGCGCGCGGCAGCGGGGCGCGGGCCGCGUGACGCCGCCGGCGGCCUCGGGAGGGCUGCGUGAUGACGCAGGCGCACGGCGCGUGUGGCGUAUGUGGCGGCAGUCAUGGCGGACGGGGUCGACGAGGUCUGGUUUCGGCGGGACCCUCCCGGGCGUCGGCUUCAUCCGAGGCCAUCGAGGAUCCCAGGCGGGGCCCGCCAUCUGCUAAGGCUGGAGUGCGCUGACGGGUAGAAGAACGUGGGAGAAAGGAUGUUUUGUGCAGUGACGCCCCGGCACGGGUAACCCCUGGGACCGGUCGAGGCCUCCAGCAGACCCAGGCCCCUCCUGUGUCCAAGCCCAGGCGCUGAACACGCCGGCCUUCACACAGCCACCCUCAGGAGACACUUCUUUUCCGUGCCGCGGACGCCCGGAGGUGGAGGCUCGCCGUGCUGGAGCGCCAGGGAGGCUGCGGCGGGACUGGGGCCCGGGCCUUUGCCCCCGCCUCUCUGAGCGGGUUCCGGUCCUGGCCGGCUCGCCUUCUGCAGGGAGUCUGGGGUUGCCGGCACUGGGCUGGGGUCUGGGGGGCUCAGGGCCUGGCGUCUGACUGACCCUCUCUGAGCCGUGAGCGGACGCUGCUUCUUCCGCCUGCUGCCAGAACAAGGACCCGGGCCCCUCCAGCGUUUCCUGGAUGAGAAACAAGGGGCGUUUAAUAAAGAGACUCGAUGUGU
This is an RNA transcript of Phyllostomus hastatus (greater spear-nosed bat), 1577 nucleotides long. It is a transcript of the gene named collagen alpha-2(I) chain-like, with no coding region annotated. The record is from RefSeq and is a predicted model, not a curated record. NCBI's taxonomy places the organism in Eukaryota, Metazoa, Chordata, Mammalia, Chiroptera, Phyllostomidae. The transcript has 4 exons.